GCAUGGAUAGUGCAACGGCUCAGCACGCGCUUCCGGCAAGAGUGAGAUCUGGGUUCAAGUCCCACCUGACGCA
This is a non-coding RNA of Parelaphostrongylus tenuis, 73 nucleotides long. The record is from the annotation of a GenBank genome assembly. Lineage: Eukaryota; Metazoa; Nematoda; Chromadorea; Rhabditida; Metastrongylidae.